RNAcentral lists this ribosomal RNA (484 nucleotides) under uncultured bacterium. RNAcentral's name for it is "partial 16S ribosomal RNA". It matches the Rfam family "Bacterial small subunit ribosomal RNA", at positions 30 to 507 of the family's 1533-position model. The record is from RNAcentral.
AUUGAACGCUGGCGGCAGGCCUAACACAUGCAAGUCGAGCGGAUGAAGGGAGCUUGCUCCUGGAUUCAGCGGCGGACGGGUGAGUAAUGCCUAGGAAUCUGCCUGGUAGUGGGGGAUAACGUCCGGAAACGGGCGCUAAUACCGCAUACGUCCUGAGGGAGAAAGUGGGGGAUCUUCGGACCUCACGCUAUCAGAUGAGCCUAGGUCGGAUUAGCUAGUUGGUGGGGUAAAGGCCUACCAAGGCGACGAUCCGUAACUGGUCUGAGAGGAUGAUCAGUCACACUGGAACUGAGACACGGUCCAGAAUCCUACGGGAGGCAGCAGUGGGGAAUAUUGGACAAUGGGCGAAAGCCUGAUCCAGCCAUGCCGCGUGUUUGAAGAAGGUCUUCGGAUUGUAAAGAACUUUAAGUUGGGAGGAAGGGCAGUAAGUUAAUACCUUGCUGUUUUGACGUUACCAACAGAAUAAGCACCGGCUAACUUCGUG